RNAcentral lists this ribosomal RNA (545 nucleotides) under uncultured bacterium. RNAcentral describes it as "bacterial SSU rRNA". It matches the Rfam family "Bacterial small subunit ribosomal RNA", at positions 777 to 1320 of the family's 1533-position model. The record is from RNAcentral.
AAUAGAUACCCUGGUAGUCCACGCUGUAAACUAUGAGUACUAGAUGUUGGUAGGGGAACCUAUCGGUAUCGAAGCUAACGCGAUAAGUAUUCCGCCUGGGAAGUACGGCCGCAAGGUUGAAACUCAAAUGAAUUGACGGGGGGCCCGCACAAGCGGUGGAGCAUGUGGUUUUAAUUCGAUGCAACGCGAAGAACCUUACCUACCCUUGACAUCCUGUGAACCCGGAUUAGUGUCUGGGGUGCCGAAAGGAGCACAGAGACAGGUGCUGCAUGGCUGUCGUCAGCUCGUGUUGUGAGAUGUUGGGUUAAGUCCCGUAACGAGCGCAACCCUUGCCCUUAGUUGCCAUCAUUUUAGUUGGGGACUCGUAAGGGGACCGCCAGUGAUGAACUGGAGGAAGGGCGGGGACGACGUCAAGUCAUCAUGGCCUUUAUGGGUAGGGCCGCACACGUGCUACAAUGGGGCGUACAGAGGGUCGCGAACCCGCGGAGGGGGAGCUAAUCUCAUAAGCGUCUCGUAGUCCGGAUUGGAGUCUGCACUCGACUCCA